This is a long non-coding RNA of Manis pentadactyla (Chinese pangolin), 697 nucleotides long. RefSeq lists it as uncharacterized. The transcript has 2 exons. The record is from RefSeq and is a predicted model, not a curated record. NCBI's taxonomy places the organism in Eukaryota, Metazoa, Chordata, Mammalia, Pholidota, Manidae.
UGUGUUCCUUGCAGAUGGAGAAGUGGUCUUCUCCUGAAAUCUCUGACAGGGAAGAUGAGAGAAAGAGCUGGAGGUGUGGCAGCCACUUAAGAAUGAUAAAGUAUUUUACUACAAAAGCCUCCUAAUGGCACAGAUGGGACUUCAUCAUAAAAGGAAUUGUAAGACUAGAGCUGAAGGCUACAGGUCAUUGCUUGGGGACUCAGAGUGACUGCUACCGGCCUUGGUUCUCCCCUCCACACCAGCUCACAAACCAGGCAGGGUGCAUAAUGCCUGUGUGUUGAUAAAGCAUUGUGUGCAAAGGCCCCAAGACAGAUAUUAAUAACUGUGCCACACUUGCACUAGCUUCUCCGUGGAAUCCUGCAAAUAGAGAUCUAUUCCACAACCGAGCGCAAAUCCAGCCCGAGACCACAUCGCCCCCUCCAGAUAUGAUGGCCUCUCUUUUAAUUCCUGCCAGUUCACCACAUCAGCGAUGUCUACAACUGGAGGAGAGGAGGCCUUGAUAAGGGGUGCCUAUCCCAGGGAAGAAGGGCAUGUGGGGGUCUGGUAUAGAAGCUGCUAGAGACCAGGAUUCAGGAGGCUGGCUUCUAGUGGGUAACCAAGCAGUAGCUCUCUGACCUUGGGCAAGCCAUUUAUUUCUUUGGAUCUCAUUUUCUUGGAUCAAAUUGAGAGAUUUGGAUUAAAUCAUCUCCAAAGCCGA